This 445-nucleotide long non-coding RNA is filed under the name Lathyrus oleraceus (garden pea). RNAcentral's name for it is "Pisum sativum (pea) long non-coding RNA (PSAT_LNC039869)". The record is from RNAcentral. Lineage: Eukaryota; Viridiplantae; Streptophyta; Magnoliopsida; Fabales; Fabaceae.
AUUAUGAGGAUCUCACAAUAAUAAAGUUGGUGCUAAUGUAACACUAGAAAAAUGAUUGGGUUGGUUUCCUUUAAUACAUACGGUCUCAUUUUCAUUGUCUUGUAAUUAUUCUAUUUUAUUUUUUUCUUUUUCAUUUUCUUAUAAUUAUUCUUUUUUCUUUUUUUUCUUUUUCAUUUUCUACUUAUAAUUAGUAUUUUAGCAUAUUUUUUAAUCAAAAUAACUUAUGUUAAUCGUUUAAUUAUCAAAAAAUAAAAGAUGACAUUUUAUGUUCUUUAGGAUAUAAGUAUAUAUUUAUUUAAUUUUGAUGUUCAAUACAUAUCUUUCUAAACUAACUAAUGUGAAGGUUUGUUACUCAAUAAAUGUUUGAUUUAUUUAUAUAUUUGAGGAUUUACUUAAUUUAAUUAUUUUGCAUACAAUAUUUAAUAGAAAUCUCUGAUUCAUAAUC